GUGGAUAGGGAGCAACCUAGUUGUGCGUGUGUAAAGGUAGUGCCAAGAAAAGCGGUGAUCAUGAUGAAAAUCAAUUCCCGGUACCCGAAACCGACACAGGUGGGCAAGUAGAGAAUACUAAGGGGCGCGAGGUAACUCUCUCCAAGGAACUCGGCAAAAUGACCCCGUAACUUAGGGAGAAGGGGUGCCACCGAGAGGUGGUCGCAGUGAAGAGGCCCAGGCGACUGUUUAGCAAAAACAUAGGUCUCUGCAAACUCGAAAGAGGAGGUAUAGGGGCUGACGCCUGCCCAGUGCCGGAAGGUUAAAGAAGUUGGUCAGUCUUAAGAUGAAGCUAGCGACUGAAGCCCCGGUGAACGGCGGCCGUAACUAUAACGGUCCUAAGGUAGCGAAAUUCCUUGUCGGGUAAGUUCCGACCCGCACGAAAGGCGUAACGAUCUGGGCGCUGUCUCGGAGAGAGGCUCGGCGAAAUAGGAUUGUCUGUGAAGAUACGGACUACCUGCAUUUGGACAGAAAGACCCUAUGAAGCUUUACUAUAGCUUGGAAUUGUGUUCGGGCUUCCUGUGCGCAGGAUAGGUGGGAGGCGUAGAAGGUAUCCUUGUGGGGAUACUGGAGCCAACGGUGAGAUACCACUCUCAGGAGGCUAGAAUUCUAACUUAAUUAAGGACAGUUUCAGGUGGGUAGUUUGACUGGGGCGGUCGCCUCCAAAAAGGUAACGGAGGCGUACAAAGGUUCCCUCAGACUGGUUGGAAAUCAGUCGAAGAGUGCAAAGGCAGAAGGGAGCUUGACUGCGAGAAGUACAGUUCGAGCAGGGUGGAAACACGGUCUUAGUGAUCCGACGGUGCUGUGUGGAAGGGCCGUCGCUCAACGGAUAAAAGUUACUCUAGGAUAACAGGCUGAUCUCCCCCAAGAGUUCACAUCGACGGGGAGGUUGGCACCUCGAUGUCGGCUCAUCGCAACCUGGGGCGGAAGUACGUCCCAAGGGUUGGGCUGUUCGCCCAUUAAAGCGGUACGUGAGCUGGGUUCAGAACGUCGUGAGACAGUUCGGUCCAUAUCCGAUGUAGGCGUGAGAAUAUUGAGAGGAGCCUUCCUUAGUACGAGAGGACCGGGAAGGACGCACCGCUGGUGUACCUGUUAUGAUGCCAAUUGUAAACGCAGGGUAGCCAAGUGCGGAGAGGAUAACCGCUGAAAGCAUCUAAGUGGGAAGCCCACCUCAAGAUGAGUAUUCUGGUGUAAGGUCACGGGAAGACGACCCGUAAAUAGGCACGAGGUGGAAGUGCAGAGAUGUAUGAAGCCGAAGUGUACUAAUAGACCGUCGGCUUGACC
RNAcentral lists this ribosomal RNA (1323 nucleotides) under metagenome. RNAcentral's name for it is "bacterial LSU rRNA". It matches the Rfam family "Bacterial large subunit ribosomal RNA", at positions 1562 to 2925 of the family's 2925-position model. The record is from RNAcentral.